GAUGAACGCUGGCGGCGUGCCUAAUACAUGCAAGUCGAGCGAACAGACGAGGAGCUUGCUCCUCUGACGUUAGCGGCGGACGGGUGAGUAACACGUGGAUAACCUACCUAUAAGACUGGGAUAACAUCGGGAAACCGGAGCUAAUACCGGAUAAUAUAUUGAACCGCAUGGUUCAAUAGUGAAAGACGGUUUUGCUGUCACUUAUAGAUGGAUCCGCGCCGCAUUAGCUAGUUGGUAAGGUAACGGCUUACCAAGGCAACGAUGCGUAGCCGACCUGAGAGGGUGAUCGGCCACACUGGAACUGAGACACGGUCCAGACUCCUACGGGAGGCAGCAGUAGGGAAUCUUCCGCAAUGGGCGAAAGCCUGACGGAGCAACGCCGCGUGAAUGAUGAAGGUCUUCGGAUCGUAAAACUCUGUUAUUAGGGAAGAACAAAUGUGUAAGUAACUAUGCACGUCUUGACGGUACCUAAUCAGAAAGCCACGGCUAACUACGUG
This 497-nucleotide ribosomal RNA is filed under the name uncultured bacterium. Its description in RNAcentral is "partial 16S ribosomal RNA". It matches the Rfam family "Bacterial small subunit ribosomal RNA", at positions 28 to 507 of the family's 1533-position model. The record is from RNAcentral.